This is a long non-coding RNA of Scylla paramamosain (green mud crab), 7017 nucleotides long. RefSeq lists it as uncharacterized. The record is from RefSeq and is a predicted model, not a curated record. NCBI's taxonomy places the organism in Eukaryota, Metazoa, Arthropoda, Malacostraca, Decapoda, Portunidae. The transcript has 2 exons.
AUGCAUUUUUCCUUGUACAGCAAAAAAAUGACACACUCAAAGGGUAGAACAAGAAAUAACGGGUUCAAGCUUGAAAAAUUUAGGUUUAAGAAGGAAAUAGGAAGAAAUUGGUUGUGUGGGUGUGAGUAUUGGUGGGCAGGCUUGGCUUCAGUUCAGUAAUGUGUCUUGCACCAUGUUGUGUUUUGUUACACAUCGCCGGUUGACUCUCCUUGUUUUCGAGUGAACAUAGGAACAUAAGAAAUAAGGGAAGUGCAAGAAGCGACCAGGCUUACACGUGGCAGUCCCUGUAUGAAAUAUACCUACCUAUUUCCAUUUAUUAUUCCCAUCCAUAAACCCGUCUAAUCUUCUCUUAAAGCUCCCUAAUGUUCUAGCACGAACAACAUGAUUACUGAGUCCGUUCCACUCAUCUACCACUGUAUUUGACCAUUGUAUCAUAUGUCUGAUGAUAAUUGGAAUAUCAAUUAUUUUAUUUAUUUGCUUAUUUCUGAAUUAAUUCGUGUAUCAGUAUAUUUAUGUAGACGAGGAUUAAGCUCUGUACACGGUGCGCAAGCCGUACGUCUUUGUGACGUGGCAGUGGGGAGGUGAGGUGAGGUGGCAGCAGGGUGAUGAGGUGGCGACGAACGGUCAGCCAGGGUUAGUUGCUGUCCGCCCUAACCUGAAGUGUGUUGUGAUGGAUCACUGAAUGUAAUAUUUAUUCAAGACUUGGGAUUAUUCUGUUAUGCUGUUUAUGAAUCCAACUACUGGUUCGGAAAGUUCAUGGAGGCAAUCCAUAUGCGGCUGGAGCUACCGCUCGCUCUAAGAUGGCAGAAGUGGAUUCAGGGAAGAUGGAGGAACUGAAGAUACAACGAAGCACUGCCAAGAGAAAGUUUACCAGGAAGAGCAACAUUUUCAAGGAGAGUGUACUGCAAGAGGAUCCUAUACCAGUGCUACAACACAAUUAAGAUGAGGUUAGUCGUGUCUAUAAGGAAGUCGAAAGUGCCCAUGAAGCGUAUACAGACUUUUUGAGUGUAACUGGUGCUGAGGACAAAGUUUUAGAUGAAGAAGAUCAAUAUAAUAUCAUUGACUUAGAGAGAAAAAGGAAGGAAUAUCACAUAUUAUUGGCUAAAAAUCUGGAUCAGCUAUCAGAGGUAAAUAAUGCGGGUGAUAAAAAAGUGAAAGUUAAAGCGUUGAAACCUCCUAUGAUUGAUGGCGACGUACGCGAAUACCCAACAUUCAAGGCAGAUUUUGAAAUGUUAAUGAAAGAUUCAUUCGGGAAAGAUCCAUUCGCUUUGAAACAAUGUUUGACAGGUGAAGCACUUAAAACUGUCAAAGGUGUAGAAACUGACUAUGAUGAAAUGUUUGAGAGACUUAAUGAAAGGUAUGGUAACAGCAAGAAGAUUGUUGAUAUAGUUCUCUGUGAUCUUAAGACAUUAAGAAAACUUGCUGAUGGAAAUACCAAAGGAUUUGUGAAAAUGGUCGAAAAGGUGGAAAGAUGUUGGCUGGAUCUGAAAAGGAUGAACCUAACAGUUGAAAUGAAGACAAGUAACACAGUGAAUCAUCGAAAAAAAAUCUUCCCUAUGACACAAAAACGGGAAUGGGUCAUACUAGCUGAAAGCAUCACUGACUCUGAUCAAAUUUUUGAUGAGCUGCUUAAAUUCUUACUAAGAGAGAAGAGAGUACUUGAGUAUAUGGAUUCCAGUAUACGAGUGACAGGAAAUGUAGACAAAUCUAAUGUGCAUAAUGUUGCAGGAUCGCUGCGGGAUGAUUCAGGUGACAUAAUGGAAUGGCUUCAGGAAAAUAAAGAAUGCCAGAGUAAGAAACUAGAGCAAUGUAUGACCAAUUUAGUCAACAUUGUGACGAGUAUGACGAAUAGUGGUAGUCAAAAUUCGCAUGCAGGAGACACAAUUAAGUAUAACUGCUGGUUUCAUGGUACUGAUAAUCAUGAUAUCUUGGAGAGCACGACAUUUCAAAGGUUAGAUAAUUAUGGGAAGAUUGAUGCUCUGCGGAAGAAUGGUAUCUGUUUCAACUGCCUCAGAGGAGUUCAUGUAGCAAGUCAAUGUAACUUGAAAAAAACAUGUGAUGUUAAAGGGAACAAUAACAUCCGCUGUAGCAGACCUCAUCACAACAUGCUGCAUCGAGCUCACGUAGAGGGAAUUAUGUUUCACAGCACAAGUCAAAGGCAAAAUACACCAUUGAUUAGAAAGACACUGUUAAUGAUCAGUAAAGUAUUCAGUCAGGGACGACCUGUAACGACACUCUGGGAUUCAGGGUCUGAUAUAACGAUCAUAACGCACGCGCUUGCUUCAAAAUUUGGAUUAGAGAGCAGAGACAUAGAACUAUCAAUGACAAAAGUAGGCAAUAUAACUGAAAAAUUCCCUAGCAAAGAAUACAUACUCCCUCUCACAGAUAAGGAUGGAAACGAAUUGUUCAUAAGAGCAGUAGGAAUGAAGGAAAUAUCUUCUAACCUAAUGGAGGUGGACGUCUCUGAUGUUGUCAGCCUGUUUGAAGAGCACAAUAUAUCACAUUGUGACAUUGAAAGACCCAGUGGAAGUAUUGAUCUACUUGUAGGUGCUGACAAUUGCGAACUAUUGGCCACUGUUGUAGGAGUAAAUGGCAAAUGGUAAAUGGUAAAUGGCAGUUAAUGCAGAAUCGGUUCGGAUUUUGUAUCAGAGGAUCUCACCCCCGUAUUAAAUCCCGUGGUAAGAGUAAUAGCCACGUUAGUGUCAGAGUGAGUCAUUUGGCUAACUUUUCUCAUGUCAAUGAUAUAUUAGGGGAAUCUAAAUCCAGCAUUAAGGCGAGUCUUGACAAUUUCUUUGAUGUAGACAAUCUAGGAACUCACUGUAUUCCCAAAUUUGGUAAUUAUAAGUGUGGCAAAUGUGUUAUUGCAAAUAAUGAUUACACUAUAAAUGAAGAAAAGGAAUUAGCCAUCAUAAAAAAGGGAUUAUAUUAUGAUGAAGUAAACUGCCAGUGGACGGUGGAGUAUCCCUGGGUAAAAGACCCAAGACUUUUGCCUAAUAAUAUUUCAGUAGCUAUUGCUAGGAUGAAAUCAACAGAGAAAAGACUUGCUAAAUUAGGUCCUAAUUAUUCCAAAUCUUAUCAGGAUCAAAUAGAGGACAUGGUCAUCAGAAAUGUAUGCAGGAAAUUAUCAGAAACAGAACAGCAAACUUAUAAUGGUCCUAUUCACUACGUGCAGCAUCAUGAGGUCCAUAAACCUGAUUCACUAUCAACACCUCUCAGAAUUGUUUUUAAUUCAUCAGCAUCACAUAUGGGUCAUGUCUUGAACGACUACUGGUGUAAAGGUCCGAAUGUCUUCAAUAAUCAGUUGACUGUUUUAUUUAGAUUUCGUCAAAGAGAGAUUGCAAUUGUUGGUGACAUCAGCAAAAUGUACCACACUAUCAAACUCAGUUUAUUAGAUCAACACACUCACAGGUUCGUCUGGAGAGAUAUGAGACUAAAAGAUGUACCCGACCAUUAUGCUCUUACAGCUGUAGCGUUCGGCGAUAAUCCAAGUGGAAUUACAGCAAUGUUGGCUUUGAAACAUACUGCUGAAAUUAAUGUAAACAACUAUCCUAAAGUAGCGGAUAUGAUUAUCAAUAACACCUAUGUAAAUGACAUAUUAUAUUCUACAGACACAAAGGCUGAAGCUUAUGAUUUGAUAAAGAAUGCUGAGAAAGUGUUGUCAUCUGGAAACUUCAAGAUAAAGCACUGGAUAGUUUCUGGUAUAAAUACUGCAUUUAGUAAUGUCAAUCUACAUUCCACUGAUAAAGAAAAAAAUCUAGGAUUGAUUUGGAAUGCAAAGGAAGAUGACUUCACAUACAAAGUUAGGUGUGAAUUUUUUCUGAAAAGCGACGUAAAGUUCACAUAGGGCCUGGCUUGACUAGAGGAGAUAUUACAGCCAAGCUUCCAGAUGUGCUAAGAAAAUAAUAUUGAGUCAGAUUGCUUCAGUUUAUGAUCCACUAGGACUAAUUACACCUUUCACAUUAAAAGCUAAAUUAAUGAUGAGGAAAUUGGUGACUCAAAGCGGUAAUUCUACCUUAGGUGACGAAGUGAAGUGAAGGGGAUGGGAUGACCCACUAUCAAAUGAUGAAAGAGAAACAUGGAAGUCCUUCUUCAUAGAACUUUAUGAUUUAGAAACCAUUUUCCUUAGGAGAUGUCUAAGACCUGCAUCUGCUAUAGGAAACCCAAUACUUGUUGUAUUUUCUGAUGGUAGCACUCAAGCAUAUGGUACUUGUGCAUACAUUCGGUGGAAACUGGGAUCUGGCAAUUAUGAGGCAAAUCUCAUUGCAGCUAAAGGUAGGAUAGCUCCUUCCAGGCAACUAACGGUUCCAAGACUGGAAUUGUGUGGAGCUGUUUUAGCAUGUAGACUAAGGGAGGUAAUUGUUAAAGAAUUUAACUGGACAUUUGAUUAUGUUGUUCACAUUGUAGACUCUGCUAUUGUGAGGGCACAAAUACAGAAAGAAUCAUAUGGAUUCAGUACAUUUGUUGCAAUAAGAAUUGCAGAGAUUCAGACAAAAUCUAGUCCGAAUGAGUGGUGGUGGGUCAAAUCAAAGGACAACCCUGCUGAUCUAAGGCCCUCUCCCCCUACUUGCUUAGGAAAGGGGUCAGUAUGGCAAAAUGGUCCAGACUACUUAAGGCAUCAAAUGACAAGUUGGCCCAUUAGUAAAUCACUUAGCGAAGAAUCUUUGCCUGAUAGAGUGGGCGUGACUCUCUUAUGUAACUUAACAAAAAAAAUCUCCAAAUCUGAACCUUAGUAUAAUGAAAAUAGGGAAAUACAGUAGUUAUAACAAACUUAUUACAGUAACCGCCAGAGUAUUCGCGGUGUUAAGAAAAAAAUCCUUCAAAGCCAUAUUUACCAAUCCAUCUGCUGAGAUGCUAAAUCUCGCUGAAACAUCAUGGGUUAAGGAAGUGCAAAAGGAUAUUUCCUCUGACUGGAAUACCAGACACCAAAUAUUAGGUCCUAGCAUAAAUGAUGAAGGUAUUAUUGUAGUUGGGGAGAGAAUAUCGAAAUGGCUCAAAGACAACUGGAACUAUAAUAGCUUUACCCUUCUUACUUGUGAGCAUCCAUUUUCCAAGUUAUAUAUUAAGCAUUUACAUAACAUUGAUCAUGCUGGAACUGAUGUGACUUUGGCCAAACUGCAAAGUAAAUACUGGAUUCUUGGUGUUCGUAGAGAAAUGAAAUUUAUCAAGAAUAAAUGUGUGAAGUGCAGAAAGUGGAACAAGAUUUGUGAAGGUCAGAAAAUGGGUCAAUUGAUACCAGAAAGACUGAAGCCUUCUCCUCCAUUUUACCACACAUCCCUUGAUCUGUUUGGUCCCCUUUUUGUUAAAGACACAGUCAAGCGUAGAACAAAGCGCAAAGUAUAUGGAGUAAUAUUCAACUGUCUUAUGUGCCGAGCAGUUCACGUUGACUUGACUGAAGGUUACAGCACAGAGGAUUUUCUAACCACUUUCAAAAGAUUUGUAGCUCUGAGGGGAUUUCCCAAAAUGAUACAUUCUGAUGGAGGAAGUCAGCUGGUUGCAGCUAAUAAGGAACUUAGACAAAUGAUGAGCACUUGCAAUAUGUCAGAUAUUUUGCAGUUUGGAUGAAAUCAAGGUAUGACUUGGUCCUUUAACAAAGCUGCUAAUGCCCCUCGGCAAAAUAGAUGUAGCGAGGCUCUAAUAAAGGUGAUAAAAAGAUCCAUCACGAUGGCGGUUGGAGACAGCACCCUAACGUUCGGAGAACUACAGACUGCGUUGUUUGAAGUAGCUAACCUUACCAAUGAGAGACCAAUUGGUAUUAAGCCCGGAACUGACUUCGAAGUUAUUUGUGUCCCAAUGAUCUUAUUCUUGGAAGGACAAGCAUUAAAGUUCCCAGUGGAACGUGGACUAAUACUAUUGACCCAAAACCUAGAUUAAAGUUUAUCCAGAAUAUUAUGUCAAACUUUUGGAGGAGGUGGCAACGUGAUUACUUUCCUACUCUCGUAGUCAGACAGAAAUGGCACGUAUCUAAAAGAAAUGUUGCAACUGGAGAUUUUGUUCUGUUACAAGAUAGUAAUGCAGUGGUAGGAAAAUGGAAACUGGCUCAAAUAGUAGAGGUAACUCCGAGUCAGGAUGGUAAAGUAAGGAACGUGAUUGUAAGAUACAAAAAUCCUAAACCUGGCAUGAAAUAUGAAGGUGAACCUGAUAUGAUGGUAAAGAGGUCCGUUCAUAAAUUAGUAGUUCUACUCCCUGUUGAGGAACAAUGUACAUAGGCAUUUCUUUGCUUAUGGGAUGGAGUGUAUCAUCAGUCUGAUGAUAAUUGGAAUAUCAAUUAUUUUAUUUAUGUGUUUAUUUCUAAAUUAGUUCGUGUAUCAGAAAUUUAUGUAGACGAGAAUUAAGCUCUGUACACGGUCCGCAAGCUAUACGUCUUUGUGACGUGGCAGUGGGGAGGUGAGGUGAGGUGGCAGCAGGGUGAUGAGGUGGCGACGAACGGUCAGUCAGGGUUAGUUGCUGUCCGCCCUAACCUGAAGUGUGUUGUGAUGGAUCACUGAAUGUAAUAUUUAUUCAAGACUUGGGAUUAUUCUGUUAUGCUGUUUAUGAAUCCAACUACUGGUUCGGAAAGUUUAUGGAGGCAAUCCAUAUGCGGCUGGAGCUACCGCUGUGAGUUAUAAUUCUAAUGAUUAUUAUAAGUGGAAAUCAAUGUGGUUGAUUGGUUAUAUGAUUGAUUUUUAUUUGUACUUAGCAUAUGGUGAAUUCUACAUACAUCCAUUCUCAAUUUUCAUAUUGAUCUACUUAUUAAUGAUGUUUGGGUACUUAAGGUGAUACAAAAAAUAAAAUAAAAUUGUUUGGGCUAUGUGUUUAUUGUAAUGAUUUUGACAGGUCCAAACGCUUGUAAUAAAGAAGUUAUGGCAGUGUUCAAGCUGUGCUAACGGAUGCCUCUAUACAACCAUGAACUAUUGAGCAUAACAACUCUACACACCAGAACUCCUCCCCGCCCCACUGCUGCACGACCUAACCAUCUGAGACAUGAUACGCAGCCGGAAAUUCGUACACUGGUAGACUCGUUUUUUUUUUUUUUUACUU